This 253-nucleotide ribosomal RNA is filed under the name uncultured bacterium. Its description in RNAcentral is "partial 16S ribosomal RNA". It matches the Rfam family "Bacterial small subunit ribosomal RNA", at positions 524 to 776 of the family's 1533-position model. The record is from RNAcentral.
UACAGAGGGUGCGAGCGUUGUCCGGAAUCACUGGGCGUAAAGGGCGCGUAGGCGGUCGGAUAAGCGUGCGGUGAAAGCCCGGGGCUCAACCCCGGGUCGGCCGUGCGGACUGUGCGACUGGAGCACUGUAGAGGCAGGUGGAAUUCCGGGUGUAGCGGUGGAAUGCGUAGAGAUCCGGAAGAACACCGGUUGCGAAGGCGGCCUGCUGGGCAGUCGCUGACGCUGAGGCGCGACAGCGUGGGGAGCAAACAGG